RNAcentral lists this unclassified non-coding RNA (6536 nucleotides) under Nilaparvata lugens (brown planthopper). RNAcentral describes it as "pDZ and LIM domain protein Zasp, transcript variant X3". Lineage: Eukaryota; Metazoa; Arthropoda; Insecta; Hemiptera; Delphacidae. The record is from RNAcentral.
AGUGCGCAAGAAGCCAUCAACUGGUAAAGUUAGAGGACGAAAUUUAAAAAUAGCUCGUUGGAAAGUUUUAUCUUCAUCUAGGCGCGCUUCCCAGACAGUCUCAAGCGUUCUUUACGACAACUACUAAUUGAAAGAAGAUUUUAUAAAGUUCUCUUCCUGGAAUAAGUGCUCUUCUUAUUCGCGAGUGUUAAGAAAACUAUUUUGUUCGAACUGAGUGAAAGAAAAACUAAGAAUGGCUUCUCUGAUCAACGUAAGGCUGAAUAGGGGCGAUGCUUCCCCGUGGGGUUUUAGACUUCAAGGUGGAAAGGACUUUGGAACGCCUCUAGUUAUUCAAAAGGUGAAUGGAAACAGUCUGGCAGAGAAAGCCGGUCUGCAGGUGGGUGACGCAGUAAUCAGAGUGAACGGCCAGGAAGUGUUCAACUUGAGACACAAGGAUGCUCAGGACAUCAUCGUCAGGAGUGGCAACAACAUCGAGAUCUCCAUCCAGAGGGGUGGCGCUGCGACUUGGAAGCCAGCGGUGCAGACCGUGGGGGGUGGAGUGGCCGCCAGCCCCCACUUGCCCUCCAAUGUGGCCCCCGUUACCAAGACCUCCCUGGCCGCUACCAAGCCUGCUGGCCCCACCGGCAUUGGAUCCUCGCACAACCUCUCACCAAGGCCCUUCAACCAGGUUAAUGGCGGCGAGCCUGUGAAAUCGAUUGUCAACAAGCAGUACAACAGUCCGGUGAACAUCUACAGCGAGCAGACCAUUGCCGAGACCCUGUCCGCCCAGGCAGAGGUAUUGGCUGGAGGUGUAUUGGGAGUUAACUUCAAGAAGAACGAGAGAGGCUACGAUGCCGAGAAGAGUGAAGUCUACAAAAUGCUUCAGGAGGCUGAACGAGAACCUAAGACACCCGAACCCGACGUGAAAUCGAGCACGGCUUACUACUCGAGCGUCAGCCACGCUACGGGCGGCAGAGCCGUUUCACCCCGCCCCAUGACGCCGAUCGCCCAGCAAAUGAAUUUGCCCCUACCCCCGCAGACACAGGCGCCCCCCUACAUGCCGUCAGGGGGGCCUGCAUCCUCAUCCAGGUCGGAGCCACCCAAGUGCUCUGGUUGUGGCAAGACUAUUGUCGGUGUGUUCGUCAGAAUAAAAGACAAGAACUUGCACGUUGAGUGCUUCAAGUGCGCCACGUGUGGCUCAUCCCUGAAGAACAUCGGCUACUACAGCAUCAACAACAAGCUCUACUGCGACAUUCACGCCAAGCUGGUGGCCCGUCAGAACCCACCCGGACCCAACAUGGAUCCCAUCACUGUACCUCCUCAAUCGAGUGGGUUUCCUCCUUCGUCUGCUGCAGCGCCAGCAUCGCCACAAUCCAAUCUGGCGCCACUGCCUUUCCACACACCAAGAGUGGCACCUUCUCACGUGGCUGCUCCAAGACCUGUACCUAAGUCUUCGGGAUCAACCAAUACAGUGCCGAAGCCGUUUAGCAGCGUUCAACCGCCUUCGGCUCCUUACCAGCCCCCGGCAGCUCCUUACCAGCCACCGGCAGCUCCUUACCAGCCACCGGCAGCUCCUUACCAGCCCCCAGCGGCUCCUGCACCUCCCGCCCCUGCUCCAGCCCCUGCGCCACCUGCAGCGGCCCCCUUCUACAACAAACCUCAAUCAGCCGAAAACAGUAUUUUUGCUCGGCCAUCCAAUCAGCAAGAUGGGUCCGACUCAACCCCGGCUGCCAAGGCUACUCCCUCAUCAUCCAACCACCCUCCAUCCUCAUUGUCCUUACCAGAUUAUUGCUCCAGUGGCAUUGUAAACCCAGUCACACCAAUAGAAGAGAUUCCUUGCUGUCUGAAUAAGAAUAAGAGAAUGUCGAUUUGUUCGGAGGAGGUUUGCCAACUGUCCGAGGAGGACAAGCAGAAAUUGAAAGGUGCCUGCUUGUUGAUGAUGAAAGAGGAGAGUGAGAGGCCAGAGUCCCCUGUUCCUUUCCCAAAAUCUGGCAGCGACUCUACGGUGACAACUCCACAGACAGAAGAAAUGAAAAGCUUUGGUCUAGCUGUGUCCAACAUGAAUAUUGAGGAGAAGAGAGAAGGAAACACUUCAACAAAAACGUUAGUUUCAGAACAGUUACAAUCACGUGGCAUGGAGGGUUCAUCAUCUAGUCAAAAAGUUGAAAAGUCUGAAGACAAUGGAGUGCAGAGAACCAGAACUAUCAAGACUGAAGAAAGUUUUUCCCAUUCUUCUAGCUCAUUUUCAUCUGUCAGAGCUUCUCAAUCCACACGUUGCAUAACACCUGAGAUUUGUGAGAUUAUGGAGAAACCAUUCGGUAGCCCUUCUCUUCUCCCUCCAUCUAUGGACAGACCAACCACUCCCCAACAAGUGAUCAGUUUCCCACCUGACAUACCAGAGUGCCUUCCUCAACCCAAAUCUCGAACAGGAACUCCUCAGCCUCAACCCCUACAGAGAAUCCUCACAGAAGAGCUUGGUGUGAAACCAAUACAGCCUUCUCUCCCAAAACAAGAAAUGGCAGAGCUUUUCCAGGUCACAAGUUCAAAAGAUGAUAGUACAAUGGUGAAAAUAGAAGAGCUCUAUACUAAAACUCAAGUGGAUGAGAUUGUCAAGAAAGAAUUGAUAAAAUAUCAAACUGGAGCAGAAUCAGUUGAUAUGGGGAUUUUUGAUGAGAAUGUGAAACAAAUGCUGCAGCAGCAGCAGCAACAACAGUUCCAGGAACAAGAAGAGCAGCAAAGACAAGAACAGCUUCAACGUCAGCUGGAACAACAGAGACAGGAACAACUCCAUCGUCAGCAGGAACAACAGAGACAGGAACAACUCCAACGUCAGCAGGAACAACAGAGACAGGAACAACAGAGACUGGAACAUCAGAGACAGGAACAACGUCAGCAGGAACAACAGAGACAAGAACAUCAGAGACAGGAACAACGUCAGCAGGAACAACAGAGACAAGAACAGUUUCAACGUCAGCAGCAACAAAAGCAAGAGCAGAUAAAACGUCAACAGGAAGUAGCACAACAGGAGAAACAGAGACAAGAACAGGUCCAGUAUGAGCAUGGACAAAUGAAAUUGCAGCAUCAGCAGCAAGCAAUCACUCAGAAAUUUCAUCAAGAGGAAUAUCAACAGAAGCAAGUUUCUGAAGUGUCUGAGAGUCAGUCAAAUAGAGAAGUACAAUCAUUGUUUCAUCAAAAGUCAGAGAGAUCAUUCAGCCCAGUCCAUGCACCACCAAAGAUAAUUCGCCCCAAGCCCCAAAUGGUGCCUCUACCACCAGAAACAAAGCCUUAUCAGCCUCCUCCACCACCUCCACAAAUUUCAGAAGAAGAGUCACGUGCUGAGAUGCUGGAGUACAGGAAGAUGGCCUGCCAGUCGCCCAUGGUGGCUGCUCUGACUGUGGCUCCAAGCAGACCUUUCACACCAACCUCCUUCCAGCCCAUACCCACUCUCGAUGAUCUCCCAAAACCACCAGUUGGUGAGAGCAUGUCACUUUUGUCAGCACUUACCAUAGCACCUGAUGAACCAUUUCAUCCCUUUCCAAAGCCAGUUGAUGUGUCUAGAAUAUCACCACCAACGUUUCAAAAGUGGCAGCAACAGUCUGCUGUCUCACAGGAAUCAAAUCAGAAGUCCAUGACACAAAAGCAAGAGCAGAAUUCCACAAGUUGCAUGCAGCAAUCACAGACAUUCUCCUGUCAGAAAUCAAUGAGCUGUUCAAAGCAAGUUUGUGAGAGACAGCUAGUGUCAAAGUCUACAGAAGGGAACAGUGCCUUCAAACCAAUGUUUAAACCUCAGCCUCUUCCUUUACCUGAGCCCAUAACAAAACAAUCUAUUCAAACAACUUAUGUACCAAAAUGUUCCACAGUAUCUGAUGACGUGAAAAGUAACACAUCCAAACCAUUCAUUCAGAACUUUUCAAUCAAAUCACAAGUUGAUAUUCGAAGUAUUAGUCCUUCAGGUCUGCACAAACCUGCUAUUUUGCCAACCUAUCAGCAGAAUAUAGGAGAUAACUCCCUUCCAAAUAGAUCCAAAUCCCCUGUUCCACAUAAAGCUCCAAUGACUGACUCUUCAAAAUCUCAGUUCUCUCCAAGAAGUAGCAGUGUAGCUGGAAAUAUUAUCUCUUCAAAUAAUGCCAGAGCUAGGAGCUUCAUUGGUAGCUCAAGUGGGUAUGUAUCCAGUAGUGUUUAUGGUCAAACAUUCACAAGUGAUAAGGAUGAACCUUCUCAGAGGCCAAAAUCAACAACUUUUGGAGAAGCAUCUGAUAACCUCCUACCCUACUAUCAGCAGAAUAUUGGUGAAAUCCCACUUGCUCAUCGGCCAAAGUCACCAGUUCCUCAUCCUAUAAAAGCCCCAUCAGUAUCCACCCCGGCAAGGGCGUCACCAAUCAUGAAUAAGCCAUCGCCAUUAGCUGGUAAAGCUCCAGAAACUCUAUCAAAGUCAAAACAAGUGUUCAAACCAGAAGUGAAACCAUACAAUAACGUGUUUGCAACUCCUCCAGAACCACUAAAACCUCUGAACAAGACUCUCCCUCAUUUCACAAAACCGAAAUCUGUGGAAGAGACAACACAGAAAACUGCUGGUGUGCCAUGGGUGGUGAAAAAGGUUGAGGAACUGUCAAACAGUUCAGUGACAAAGAAUAAAGAGAAAACAUCUCUAUCAUCUUUGCUGAAAUCUACAAUGCCACAGCCUGUAUCAUCCCUGUCUGUAACCUCUCCUAGUGUCUCCGCCACGGGUAGCCAGAAAUCGGCAGCCGGAUUUACUCCUCCUAAACCCGUAGGUGCUCCCACUACAUCAGUCCCCCCAACAGGUGCCGGCGCCGGUGGCGGCUCAGCUGGCAACAAGGGCGCCACUUUUGCAGGGUCGACGGCACCCCGCCGUGGUCGUGGCACCCUCAACGCUGGUGUUGCACCGGGCGCGCGCAUCCCGCUUUGUGGCAGCUGCAACAGUCAGAUUAGCAUUGACAUCGCCUGCAAAUGAUGCCCUUGUUAUGAUGAUAGCUGACAGUGUCUCGAAGGAAAACUAUCCUGUUUGCAAUAAAUGUGGAGAAAUGAUCAAAAGGGGACCGUUCAUCACCGCCCUGGGCAAGAUCUGGUGUCCAGAGCACUUUGUGUGCGCCAACGUGCAGUGCAAGCGACCUCUGCAGGAUGUCGGCUUUGUCGAGGAAAGCUCCGGCCUUUAUUGCGAGUUCUGUUUCGAACAGUUCUUGGCACCCGCCUGCAAUAAGUGCAACAAGAAGAUCAAAGGGGAUUGUUUGAAUGCGAUUGGAAAGCACUUCCAUCCCGAAUGUUUCUGCUGUGCGUACUGCGGAAAGCUGUUCGGAAACAGUCCCUUCUUCCUGGAAGAUGCUCUCCCCUACUGCGAGAACGAUUGGAACGAGCUUUUUACUACUAAAUGUUUUUCGUGCGGCUUCCCCAUCGAGGCCGGUGACAGAUGGGUCGAAGCUUUGGCUAACAACUACCACAGCCAGUGCUUCAACUGCACUAUGUGCAAAAAGAAUCUUGAAGGACAGAGCUUUUUCGCCAAAGGAGGUCGACCAUUUUGCAAGAAUCACGCUCGCUAAUGUCGACUUCGAUUAUUAGAAUAACAAAUCUACCACAAUGUAUUCUCUAUCUCUGUAUUAUCUAUAGGUAUUGAUAAUUUUACAAUUAUCUUCGAACAAUAAUAGUAAGUUAUUUGUCAUUCAUCGAUUUUUAACAAAAAAAUAUGUUCAUUUUUGUUUUUGAUGAUUCCCAGCAGCCAGCACAAGAAGAUUCAUAUCAAUAGUGAAAGUGUUUCCAUAAUGUACAUUGGAAUCCCUUUAUUCAGCUUUCGAUUACCAUUAUUGUUAUAUAUUUUAUUGUUAAUUAAGCCCUGCUGUGUAUGUUUUCUGCUGUAAUUAACUAGAAAUUCUGAUUUUGGAGUUCUUCAUUGAUGAGAUACGAAAGCAUAGUGAUACAAAUAACUAUUCCAAUGUUAUCAAAAAUGGGUGAUUCUUAUUCAUUAUAUUCUCGUAACUGUACCCUUUCCAGGUAUCUUUAUCUAUGAAUUAUGUAUCUUGUUAUUUUGAACAUGAUUUCUGAAAAGUUACCAUCCCGAAUACACGAAAAACUUGAGAAAAACGUACCAAAGACUUGACAGUCCAUCUGUUAUAAUAUACCUUUUUGUGAGAGAGGGACUGUUUAAUGAUUAUUAUUGUUAUGACUAGUCAAAUUAAAUGGGUUUAUCUUCCUUAAAAUCCACUGUUUAUCAAUAUCUAUCAUGGAAUUUUCAAUACUCAUCAUUCUCAAUCAAUCCUUGUCAGUAAUAAUUAUUCCUCCAGAAAUGUAUUAUUCCAUGCUCAUUAAUGUUAUGAACUCAGCAAACUCAAUGUAUUUCUCCCUAGCAUGCCUUUCAUGUGUAGCCUAUAAUCCUCUUUGUAAUUUGUGUGUUCUUCUCACUAUAUUAAUAAAUUUAUGAUUGUUGAUAACUCUUUACGAAUAUUGUUAAGUUGACCUAUAGAAAUUUACUAUAUUAAGUUAAACUAUUUGUUAGAUGUUUAUUGCUGAUUGUUGUAAAUAACUGAACCGAUAAACAUUCGUUUCAA